Prionailurus viverrinus (fishing cat) is the source of this 532-nucleotide long non-coding RNA. RefSeq lists it as uncharacterized. Lineage: Eukaryota; Metazoa; Chordata; Mammalia; Carnivora; Felidae. The transcript is spliced from 4 exons. The record is from RefSeq and is a predicted model, not a curated record.
CUGAAAUAUAUGAGUAAAUCAGAAUUUCCAGGAUCAUGUUACCAUACUGGUCAAGAUUGGAAGAUGGUCUGAGGACAAAAGACCCUGCAGGCACCAGCUAAAGGCCUUCAUCAAAGGGGUGGAGAGGCUCUAUCCAGAGGAGGGUGAAAAGGAGAGAAAGGGAUAUGGGUCCACAUCAUUUGAAAAUGCUGUAAAGUCUCUAAGAUACAUAUGCCCUAAAGAAAAAAAUACCAGAAUGUGUCCUCAUUUUAAUUCUACGAAAAUGAAUUUUUUCAGACUGUCAUGAGCAUCAAUGGUUGCAGGAUGAAAAGACAUUCACCAUAUUGAUGGCUGCAUACAUAGUUCUGAGGCUGUGUUAAUCUGCUCUAGCAAGAAGUAUGUCUGGCAAAGCCACCACAACUGAUGCUACUACUUGAUUGUAUCUGCAGUAGUCCAUGAUCAUCUGCCAGAAACCAUUUCAUUGUCAAGACUGGUGAACUAGGGGCACCUGAGUGGGUCAGUCGGUUAAGCGUCCGACCUCAGCUCAGGUCAC